This 75-nucleotide transfer RNA is filed under the name Puniceicoccales bacterium. Its description in RNAcentral is "tRNA-Arg". It matches the Rfam family "tRNA". From Rfam's summary of the family: Transfer RNA (tRNA) molecules are approximately 80 nucleotides in length. Their secondary structure includes four short double-helical elements and three loops (D, anti-codon, and T loops). The record is from RNAcentral. Lineage: Bacteria; Pseudomonadati; Verrucomicrobiota; Opitutia; Puniceicoccales.
GUUUGCGUAGUUCAAUGGAUAGAGCUUCGGCCUCCGAAGCCGAAAAUUCGGGUUCGAGUCCCGACGCGAACGCCA